This 307-nucleotide ribosomal RNA is filed under the name uncultured bacterium. Its description in RNAcentral is "bacterial SSU rRNA". It matches the Rfam family "Bacterial small subunit ribosomal RNA", at positions 29 to 334 of the family's 1533-position model. The record is from RNAcentral.
AUGAACGCUGGCGGCAUGCCUUACACAUGCGAAGUCGAACGGCGAGCGACGGACGUUCGGUCUGGUGGCGAGUGGCGAACGGGUGAGUAAUACAUCGGAACGUGCCUAGUAGUGGGGGAUAACUACUCGAAAGAGUGGCUAAUACCGCAUGAGAUCUACGGAUGAAAGCAGGGGAUCGCAAGACCUUGUGCUACUAGAGCGGCCGAUGGCAGAUUAGGUAGUUGGUGGGAUAAAAGCUUACCAAGCCAACGAUCUGUAGCUGGUCUGAGAGGACGAUCAGCCACACUGGGACUGAGACACGGCCCAG